AUUGAAGAUUCGAACACGAAUUUCUGAAGAUUUGUCACCAUGGGUGCCUUAACUAUCAAUAGCUGUAAGCGUCGUAACGAUUAUCUUAACUUAAAUUAUGCGGACGGAGGAAGGCUUAAAGUCUAACUUUCGGAAGGACUCUCUGAGGAUUGCAGCUUAGAUGUACAACCUGUAAUUAAGUACAGACAAAAUGGCGUUAUCUUUUAACACAUGGAAGUAGAGAGAACUCAAUCACUCAUUCAGAACACCACCAAGCUGGUUGGAGAUUUCUUCUCCUGAGGUUGCUGUUGGAAUCCACAAAGACAAUAUUGAUCAUGUUCUAAAACAUAUCAUCUUAUGUCACGGCGUUGGUUUGCCCAUGCUUCUCCUACUCUUUUCAAUGCAAGGACACCAAGGCCUCAAUUGAGUAGAGGCUUCCAUGUGUGCAUGAUAGAGGACAAU
This is a long non-coding RNA of Papaver somniferum (opium poppy), 441 nucleotides long. RefSeq lists it as uncharacterized. The transcript is spliced from 4 exons. The record is from RefSeq and is a predicted model, not a curated record. NCBI's taxonomy places the organism in Eukaryota, Viridiplantae, Streptophyta, Magnoliopsida, Ranunculales, Papaveraceae.